RNAcentral lists this ribosomal RNA (278 nucleotides) under uncultured bacterium. RNAcentral's name for it is "partial 16S ribosomal RNA". It matches the Rfam family "Bacterial small subunit ribosomal RNA", at positions 333 to 628 of the family's 1533-position model. The record is from RNAcentral.
AGGGUCCUACGGGGGGCAGCAGUGGGGAAUAUUGCACAAUGGGGGGAACCCUGAUGCAGCGACGCCUCGUGAGGGAAGAAGUAUUUCGGUAUGUAAAGCUCUAUCAGCAGGGAAGAUAAUGACGGUACCUGACUAAGAAGCCCCGGCUAACUACGUGCCAGCAGCCGCGGUAAUACGGGGGGUGCAAGCGUUGUCCGGAAUCAUUGGGCGUAAAGAGUUCGUAGGCGGCACGUAAAGUCUGGUGUUAAAGGCAGAGGCUCAACUUCUGUACGGCACUG